AGUAAUGUCUGGGAAACUGCCUGAUGGAGGGGGAGUAACUACUGGAAACGGUAGCUAAUACCGCAUAACGUCGCAAGACCAAAGAGGGGGACCUUCGGGCCUCUUGCCAUCGGAUGUGUCCAGAUGGGAUUAGCUAGUAGGUGGGGUAACGGCUCACCUAGGCGACGAUCCCUAGCUGGUCUGAGAGGAUGACCAGCCACACUGGAACUGAGACACGGUCCAGACUCCUACGGGAGGCAGCAUG
Molecule: ribosomal RNA, 244 nt
Filed under: uncultured bacterium
Lineage: Bacteria
Description: partial 16S ribosomal RNA
Rfam family: Bacterial small subunit ribosomal RNA
Source: RNAcentral